RNAcentral lists this ribosomal RNA (2025 nucleotides) under Triticum aestivum (bread wheat). RNAcentral's name for it is "partial small subunit ribosomal RNA". Lineage: Eukaryota; Viridiplantae; Streptophyta; Magnoliopsida; Poales; Poaceae. The record is from RNAcentral.
CGUUACACAUGGUUUUAUUUCAUGACUUCACGUAGUGAGGUGUUGUCUAUUUAUAAGCGUUUUGCUGCCAUGGUUCAUACUCAGUUCUCUUCACCCAUUCGUGUUUUUCGUGCUGACUCCGCUGGCGAGUAUAUCUCUAAGAUGUUGUGUGGUGUUCUUGCUGAGCAGGGUACUCUUGCCCAGUUCUCUUGUCCUGGUGCUCAUGCUCAGAAUGGCGUGUCUGAGCGCAAGCAUCGUCACCUUCUUGAGACGGCUCGUGCUAUGAUGAUCGCCGCCUCUCUUCCGCCUCAUUUUUGGGCCGAGGCUAUCUCCACUUCCGCCUAUCUCAUCAACCUUCAGCCGUCCGCUGCUUUGCAGGGUGGUGUUCCUUUUGAGCGUCUUUUUGAUCGUUCUCCCGAUUAUUCGAUGCUUCGCUUGUUUGGUUGUGUUUGCUAUGUUCUUCUUGCCCCUCGCGAACGCACCAAACUGACCGCUCAGUCUGUUGAGUGUGUCUUCUUAGGCUACAGUGAUGAGCAUAAGGGCUAUCGUUGUUGGGAUCCUAUCGGUCGUCGGAUGCGUAUCUCUCGAGACGUGACUUUUGAUGAGUCUCGUCCUUUCUACCCACGCCCAUCUUCCUCGUUUUUUUUAGUGGAUGAUAUCUCUUUCCUCACUUUUCCUGACUCACCUAUCACCCCCGUCGCGCCUGUGCCUAUUCGUUCCACUCCCUCUACUUCUCCACCCCUCGUCGAUUCGCCGCCACCAUCUUCCCCGGUCUCCUCACCUAGCAUGUCACCGGAUUCUACACCUUCAUCUCCGGUGACUUCUUCGUCGCCACCCCCCGAUUCUACCUUGGCGAUUCCUCCUUCUCUUGUUCCAUCUUUUCCUCAGCAUUACACUCGUCGUUCACGACCUGUGGAUGCUUCCUUGGAUGAGUCGUCCUCUUCCUCUCAGCCUACUUAUGGCUUGCGUUCUCGUCCUCGUCCGCCUAUUGAUCGCUUUGGAUUUCCCACUGCUGGUGCUGCUGUUCUUGAGCCGACUUCUUAUCGUCAGGUUGUUGUUCAUCCUGAAUGGCAGUUUGCGAUGGCAGAGGAGAUUGCUUCUCUUGAACGCACUGGUACCUGGGAUCUUGUUUCUCUUCCUCCCGGAGUCCGUCGCAUCACUUGUAAGUGGGUCUACAAGGUUAAGACUCGCUCCGAUGGUUCUCUUGAGCGUCACAAAGCUCGUCUCGUGGCUCGUGGUUUUCAGCAGGAGCAUGGUCGUGAUUAUGACGAGACUUUUGCUCCUGUGGCCCAUAUGACCACUAUUCGUACACUUCUUGCCGUUGCCUCUGCACGCCACUGGUCUAUAUCUCAGCUUGAUGUUAAGAAUGCCUUUCUUAAUGGUGAGCUGCGUGAGGAGGUGUACAUGCAGCCACCACCUGGGUAUUCUGUUCCUGAUGGCAUGGUGUGUCGUCUUCGUCGCUCUCUCUAUGGCCUUAAGCAAGCCCCUCGCGCCUGGUUUGAGCGUUUUGCCUCUGUGGUCACUACUGCUGGUUUUUCAGCAAGUGCUCAUGAUCCAGCAUUGUUUAUUCACCUUUCUCCUCGUGGCCGGACUCUUCUUCUUCUCUAUGUUGAUGAUAUGGUCAUCACUGGGGAUGACCCCGAGUAUAUUGCCUUUGUAAAGGCCCGUCUUAGUGAGCAGUUUCUUAUGUCUGAUCUUGGACCUCUUUGCUACUUUCUUGGGAUUGAAGUCUCUUCUACCUCUGAUGGCUUUUUUAUAUCCCAGGAAAAGUAUAUCCAGGAUCUUCUUGCUCGUGCUGCUCUUACUGACGAGCGCAUUGUUGAGACUCCUAUGGAGCUCAAUGUUCACCUCCUUGCUACUGAUGGUGAUCCUCUCCCUGACCCGACGCGUUAUCGUCAUCUUGUUGGCAGUCUUGUCUAUCUAGCUGUCACUCGUCCGGACAUCUCUUAUCCGGUUCAUAUUCUGAGUCAGUUUGUCUCUGCUCCCACAUCGGUUCACUAUAGUCAUCUCCUUCGUGUUCUCCGAUAUCUUCGGGGCACGAUCUCU